Molecule: non-coding RNA, 28 nt
Filed under: Mus musculus (house mouse)
Lineage: Eukaryota; Metazoa; Chordata; Mammalia; Rodentia; Muridae
Source: RNAcentral
UAACAACCAUACAUAUAAGAGGCACUGC